AGUGAACGCUGGCGGUAGGCCUAACACAUGCAAGUCGAACGGCAGCACAGUAAGAGCUUGCUCUUACGGGUGGCGAGUGGCGGACGGGUGAGGAAUACAUCGGAAUCUACUUUUUCGUGGGGGAUAACGUAGGGAAACUUACGCUAAUACCGCAUAUGACCUACGGGUGAAAGCAGGGGAUCUUCGGACCUUGCGCGAUUGUAUGAGCCGAUGUCGGAUUAGCUAGUUGGCGGGGUAAAGGCCCACCAAGGCGACGAUCCGUAGCUGGUCUGAGAGGAUGGUCAGCCACACUGGAACUGAGACACGGUCCAGACUCCUACGGGAGGCAGCAGUGGGGAAUAUUGGACAAUGGGCGCAAGCCUGAUCCAGCCAUACCGCGUGGGUGAAGAAGGCCUUCGGGUUGUAAAGCCCUUUUGUUGGGAAAGAAAAGCAGCAGGUUAAUACCCCGCUGUUCUGACGGUACCCAAAGAAUAAGCACCGGCUAACUUCGUG
RNAcentral lists this ribosomal RNA (492 nucleotides) under uncultured bacterium. Its description in RNAcentral is "partial 16S ribosomal RNA". It matches the Rfam family "Bacterial small subunit ribosomal RNA", at positions 29 to 507 of the family's 1533-position model. The record is from RNAcentral.